UACAGAGGGGGCAAGCGUUGUUCGGAAUUACUGGGCGUAAAGGGCGCGUAGGCGGCCGGUUAAGUCGAACGUGAAAUCCCUGGGCUCAACCCAGGAACUGCGUCCGAUACUGGCAGGCUUGAAUUCGGGAGAGGGAUGCGGAAUUCCAGGUGUAGCGGUGAAAUGCGUAGAUAUCUGGAGGAACACCGGUGGCGAAGGCGGCAUCCUGGACCGAUAUUGACGCUGAGGCGCGAAAGCCAGGGGAGCAAACGGG
RNAcentral lists this ribosomal RNA (253 nucleotides) under uncultured bacterium. RNAcentral's name for it is "partial 16S ribosomal RNA". It matches the Rfam family "Bacterial small subunit ribosomal RNA", at positions 524 to 776 of the family's 1533-position model. The record is from RNAcentral.